This 425-nucleotide ribosomal RNA is filed under the name uncultured bacterium. Its description in RNAcentral is "partial 16S ribosomal RNA". It matches the Rfam family "Bacterial small subunit ribosomal RNA", at positions 354 to 796 of the family's 1533-position model. The record is from RNAcentral.
GUGGGGAAUAUUGGACAAUGGGCGCAAGCCUGAUCCAGCCAUGCCGCGUGUGUGAUGAAGGCCUUAGGGUUGUAAAGCACUUUUGUCCGGGAAGAUAAUGACUGUACCGGAAGAAUAAGCCCCGGCUAACUUCGUGCCAGCAGCCGCGGUAAUACGAAGGGGGCUAGCGUUGCUCGGAAUCACUGGGCGUAAAGGGCGCGUAGGCGGACUUUUAAGUCGGGGGUGAAAGCCCAGGGCUCAACCCUGGAAUUGCCUUCGAUACUGAGAGUCUUGAGUUCGGAAGAGGUUGGUGGAACUGCGAGUGUAGAGGUGAAAUUCGUAGAUAUUCGCAAGAACACCAGUGGCGAAGGCGGCCAACUGGUCCGAUACUGACGCUGAGGCGCGAAAGCGUGGGGAGCAAACAGGAUUAGAAACCCGUGUAGUCC